This 75-nucleotide transfer RNA is filed under the name Nitrososphaerales archaeon. Its description in RNAcentral is "tRNA-Arg". It matches the Rfam family "tRNA". From Rfam's summary of the family: Transfer RNA (tRNA) molecules are approximately 80 nucleotides in length. Their secondary structure includes four short double-helical elements and three loops (D, anti-codon, and T loops). The record is from RNAcentral. Lineage: Archaea; Thermoproteati; Nitrososphaerota; Nitrososphaeria; Nitrososphaerales.
GGGGCUAUAGCCUAGCAUGGAUAGGGCGUCAGCCUUCGGAGCUGAAGGUCGUGGGUUCAAAUCCCACUAGCCCCG